Molecule: long non-coding RNA, 277 nt
Filed under: Brassica rapa (field mustard)
Lineage: Eukaryota; Viridiplantae; Streptophyta; Magnoliopsida; Brassicales; Brassicaceae
Description: long non-coding RNA (BRAP_LNC006911)
Source: RNAcentral
AAAAAAAGCCCAAAGGAACAUGCUCUAAAACACCAAAGAAUGUUUGGUGUUGCAGUUCCACUACACACUGCCGAAGCACCAAAGCGGAUUGUGAGAAGAUGUGUAUCUGGUAGUAUCUGGGGCCGUUGAAUUUUACCAAAGAGAAUUUCAAUAAUUAUAUAUUCCCAUUAUUUUCAUAAUUCUAUUAUUCAAAAUUUAAAGAAUAAAUAGAAAUUCCUAUUCCACAGGAGCAGCUAGUAUUAUGUACUAAAUGUUUUGGAAUUUCUUUGUAAGAUCA